RNAcentral lists this ribosomal RNA (495 nucleotides) under uncultured bacterium. Its description in RNAcentral is "partial 16S ribosomal RNA". It matches the Rfam family "Bacterial small subunit ribosomal RNA", at positions 30 to 507 of the family's 1533-position model. The record is from RNAcentral.
UGACCGCUGGCGGCGUGCCUAAUACAUGCAAGUCGAGCGACCAGACGAGGAGCUUGCUCCUCUGACGUUAGCGGCGGACGGGUGAGUAACACGUGGAUAACCUACCUAUAAGACUGGGAUAACUUCGGGAAACCGGAGCUAAUACCGGAUAAUAUAUUGAACCGCAUGGUUCAAUAGUGAAAGACGGUUUUGCUGUCACUUAUAGAUGGAUCCGCGCCGCAUUAGCUAGUUGGUAAGGUAACGGCUUACCAAGGCGACGAUGCGUAGCCGACCUGAGAGGGUGAUCGGCCACACUGGAACUGAGACACGGUCCAGACUCCUACGGGAGGCAGCAGUAGGGAAUCUUCCGCAAUGGGCGAAAGCCUGACGGAGCAACGCCGCGUGAGUGAUGAAGGUCUUCGGAUCGUAAAACUCUGUUAUUAGGGAAGAACAAAUGUGUAAGUAACUAUGCACGCCUUGACGGUACCUAAUCAGAAAGCCACGGCUAACUACGUG